RNAcentral lists this ribosomal RNA (348 nucleotides) under Triticum aestivum (bread wheat). RNAcentral describes it as "partial small subunit ribosomal RNA". Lineage: Eukaryota; Viridiplantae; Streptophyta; Magnoliopsida; Poales; Poaceae. The record is from RNAcentral.
AUGCGAUGGUCGCCGUCCCCUGCCGAGACAUUCCCGCCUAGCCACUCCACUGCGCCCCAGUGCCACCUAUCCCGCCUCACCCACCGUCGUGCCCAACCGGUUGAAAGAAACGCAAGAGUGAGGGACGACGGAGACGCGCAAACAGCAACAAUUUUUUUAUUAUUCAGUACUGCUACCAAAAGGUCAUUCUAUGACAAAGAACUCAUUGGGAAACAGCAGUUGAACCGGGUUACCUGGUAUAAGACCAACAUAUUGUUCCCAAAAAGAAACAUAAGUUGCAAUUUUAUAAGAUGGAAAAGCAUACAAAAUAAAAGAAAGAAUUGGGAUAUACAUCCACAUGGGUUGCUA